GAGGAAUAUUGGUCAAUGGAGGCAACUCUGAACCAGCCAAGUCGCGUGAAGGAUGAAGGUCUUAUGGAUUGUAAACUUCUUUUGCAAGGGAAUAAAGUGGGGGACGUGUCCUCCUUUGCAUGUAUCUUGCGAAUAAGGAUCGGCUAACUCCGUGCCAGCAGCCGCGGUAAUACGGAGGAUCCGAGCGUUAUCCGGAUUUAUUGGGUUUAAAGGGUGCGCAGGCGGGAUGUUAAGUCGGCGGUGAAAUUUUGCAGCUCAACUGUAAAAGUGCCUUCGAUACUGGUCGUCUUGAGUGCAGUAAAGGUGGGCGGAAUUCGUGGUGUAGCGGUGAAAUGCUUAGAUAUCACGAAGAACCCCAAUUGCGAAGGCAGCUCACUGGAGUGUAACUGACGCUGAUGCUCGAAAGUGUGGGUAUCAAACA
RNAcentral lists this ribosomal RNA (421 nucleotides) under uncultured Petrimonas sp. RNAcentral's name for it is "bacterial SSU rRNA". It matches the Rfam family "Bacterial small subunit ribosomal RNA", at positions 356 to 774 of the family's 1533-position model. The record is from RNAcentral. Lineage: Bacteria; Pseudomonadati; Bacteroidota; Bacteroidia; Bacteroidales; Dysgonomonadaceae.